CUGUGUUCUUGCACAGAUCUUAAAAUAUGACGAUCAUAAAUGGAAACAUCGGCUCGUGGAGAUACGUAGAUUUUGAAAGUCGAUUUGUUCAAAACUUGAAACUAGCGUUGAUAACUGGACCAGUUGUUGGUUGAGAUGUUGCAAGAGAAAUAUCUGCUGAAGUGUCUGACGAAAAGCUUUGUAACUUUUUUCCAGCAAUCGGAUUUUUCCUGUUUUUCAAGUUUAUAUGUUCAUUUAAAGAGGACCUACGCGAAGACCAGAAGAAUGCGUUGGUAAAAUAGUCAGAUCGACGGAAAUCUACGGCAAACGACAUAAAAAAAGAGAUGGUUUGACAUUAUUAGAGAGGACACGGAGACGUGCGAGUUAGAAGAAGAAGACGCCAUGAUGAAUCGGAAUAAAUGGAAGCAAGGGAGUUGCAAAACGACCCCCACAAUUAUAUGGUAGCUUUCAGAAACCUAUUUCAGGAGUGUAUCGUUCUUGCAAUUUUAAACUAUAUUUCCGUUACCAAAUAAAGAACAUUUUCCCAAUAAAAUUAA
Long non-coding RNA from Limulus polyphemus (Atlantic horseshoe crab), 536 nucleotides. RefSeq lists it as uncharacterized. NCBI's taxonomy places the organism in Eukaryota, Metazoa, Arthropoda, Merostomata, Xiphosura, Limulidae. The record is from RefSeq and is a predicted model, not a curated record. The transcript is spliced from 2 exons.